AGAGUUUGAUCCUGGCUCAGGAUUAACGCUGGCGGCGUGCAUGAAACAUGCAAGUCGAGCGCGGUGUGAUGCGGGGUAACCCAAGUCACAUCUAGCGGCGCACGGGUGAGUAACACGUGAGCAACCUACCUUCGAGUUGGGGAUAGCCCUGCGAAAGCAGGAUUAAUACCCGAUGUGGUCACGACGGGACAUCCCGUUGU
This 200-nucleotide ribosomal RNA is filed under the name uncultured bacterium. RNAcentral's name for it is "partial 16S ribosomal RNA". It matches the Rfam family "Bacterial small subunit ribosomal RNA", at positions 8 to 198 of the family's 1533-position model. The record is from RNAcentral.